GGGAUAACACCUGGAAACAGAUGCUAAUACCGGAUAACAACACUAGACGCAUGUCUAGAGUUUGAAAGAUGGUUCUGCUAUCACUCUUGGAUGGACCUGCGGUGCAUUAGCUACUUGGUAAGGUAACGGCUUACCAAGGCAAUGAUGCAUAGCCGAGUUGAGAGACUGAUCGGCCACAUUGGGACUGAGACACGGCCCAAACUCCUACGGGAGGCAGCAGUAGGGAAUCUUCCACAAUGGACGAAAGUCUGAUGGAGCAACGCCGCGUGAGUGAAGAAGGGUUUCGGCUCGUAAAGCUCUGUUGGUAGUGAAGAAAGAUAGAGGUAGUAACUGGCCUUUAUUUGACGGUAAUUACUUAGAAAGUCACGGCUAACUACGUGCCAGCAGCCGCGGUAAUACGUAGGUGGCAAGCGUUGUCCGGAUUUAUUGGGCGUAAAGCGAGUGCAGGCGGUUCAAUAAGUCUGAUGUGAAAGCCUUCGGCUCAACCGGAGAAUUGCAUCAGAAACUGUUGAACUUGAGUGCAGAAGAGGAGAGUGGAACUCCAUGUGUAGCGGUGGAAUGCGUAGAUAUAUGGAAGAACACCAGUGGCGAAGGCGGCUCUCUGGUCUGCAACUGACGCUGAGGCUCGAAAGCAUGGGUAGCGAACAGGAUUAGAUACCCUGGUAGUCCAUGCCGUAAAC
RNAcentral lists this ribosomal RNA (680 nucleotides) under uncultured bacterium. RNAcentral describes it as "bacterial SSU rRNA". It matches the Rfam family "Bacterial small subunit ribosomal RNA", at positions 140 to 807 of the family's 1533-position model. The record is from RNAcentral.